Molecule: long non-coding RNA, 1380 nt
Filed under: Canis lupus familiaris (dog)
Lineage: Eukaryota; Metazoa; Chordata; Mammalia; Carnivora; Canidae
Description: lncRNA (ENSCAFG00030021792.1)
Source: RNAcentral
UCACCUGGAUCAGCGGGAGGCAACGUGUGUCAGUUCCCAAGGUGCGUAAUAACACCUUUCGCAUCUUGGAAGGGGCCUGGCUCUGCUCCGCAUUCUCAGGGCGACCCUGUCCCGAAGGCGCAGUGCCCUUCCUUGGACUCAGGCGAUCACCCUUUGCAGUGGGCUCAUCCAAGGGACACUCAAGGGACACCGCAACGUAAUCGCGCAGCGGUGGAGCGGAGCCCUCCGGGGACCCCAGCGACCGGGGCCCUGAGACCCGUCCCAAGGCGGGAGACGAGGAGCCGUGCCCGGGACGAGCACUGGACUCCGGGCGGCCUUCGCCCUCGGGUCUGCCCGCCGCGGGGAGGAGCCGGCCUCGGGGUGGAGGCGUCGGCAGCGCGCGGCCGCCAGCAGGGGCGCCAGGUUCAGAGCCGCCGGGGCCGUCGCCGCCAGCCGCGUCCGGGAACCAGACGCCGCGAAGCCGAGUCCCGCUCGGGGGGCAGCCGCGGAGCGCGCCGGGGACACGGGCUCCUGCCUCGGCCUCCGGGGAGCCCCACCUCCCGGCACGCGGCUGCUUGGGGGGGCGAAGGGGAUCGGGGGAAACGGGGGCGCGGAGAGGGCGGGGCUGCGCGGGCGGGAGGGCGGGGGGAAGCGGGGGCGGGGCGGGGGCGGGAGCGGGAGGGGCGGGGCGGGGAGCGGGAGGGGCGGGGCGGGCGCCGCGCCUCCGAGCCGCACUCGUGCAGCCCGCACAAUGGAGGCCCCGCCCCCGCCCUCGACCCCGGCCCCGCCCCCCUCCCUCGCCCGCCACCUGAGCCCUCGGGAGGACGCCGCGCUCGCUCCCGGGGCCGACCCCGCCCCCUUGCCCCGCCCCCGCCCCGCAAGGCCCCGCCCCGUCGGCCCCCCGCCCCCGCCCCCCAUGCUCGUCCCGCCCGCGCCCCGCCCACAUGCCCGCCGCGCCUCGCGACCCGCCCCCAGCCCCGCCCCCCCUGCCCCCCCUGCCCCCCGCCCCUCCUGCCACCUGAACCCUCGGGCGGACGCCGCGCUCGCUCCCGGGGCCGCCCCGCCCCGCCCCGCGCCCCGCCCAUCGCCCCUCCCUCUCCUCGCCCCCGCCCCGCCCGCCACCUGAGCCCUCGGGCGGACGCAGUGCUCGCUCCCGCGCCCCGCCCAAGCCCGCCCCGCCCCGCGCCCCGCCCCGCCCCUGCACUCGCCCCGCCCCCACCCCGCCCCCGCCCCGCCCGCCACCUGAGCCCUCGGGAGGACGCCGCGCUCGCUCCCGGGGCCGCCCCCCGCGCCGCCCCCCGCCCCGCGCCCCGCCCAUCGCCCCUCCCUCGCCCCGCCCCUCGCCCCGCCCCUGCACUCGCCCCUGCACUCGCCCCGCCCCCCGCCCCGCCCGCCACCUGA